Molecule: transfer RNA, 82 nt
Filed under: Felis catus (domestic cat)
Lineage: Eukaryota; Metazoa; Chordata; Mammalia; Carnivora; Felidae
Also listed under: 2 other names
Rfam family: tRNA
About the family: Transfer RNA (tRNA) molecules are approximately 80 nucleotides in length. Their secondary structure includes four short double-helical elements and three loops (D, anti-codon, and T loops).
Source: Rfam by way of RNAcentral
GGUAGCGUAGCCGAGUGGUAUAAGGCGCUGGGUUUAGGCUCCAGUCAUUUCUCUGGCGUGAGCUGAAAUCCCACCGCUGCCA